GGUUAGGUAGUCUAAUUGGCUAGGACACUUGCGUGUAAAGCAAGCGAUCCGGAUUCGACUUCCGGUCGAGGUA
This 73-nucleotide transfer RNA is filed under the name Cyphomyrmex costatus. It matches the Rfam family "tRNA". From Rfam's summary of the family: Transfer RNA (tRNA) molecules are approximately 80 nucleotides in length. Their secondary structure includes four short double-helical elements and three loops (D, anti-codon, and T loops). Lineage: Eukaryota; Metazoa; Arthropoda; Insecta; Hymenoptera; Formicidae. The record is from Rfam by way of RNAcentral.